Molecule: ribosomal RNA, 750 nt
Filed under: Neochromadora sp. 2 MJR-2013
Lineage: Eukaryota; Metazoa; Nematoda; Chromadorea; Chromadorida; Chromadoridae
Description: eukaryotic LSU rRNA
Rfam family: Eukaryotic large subunit ribosomal RNA
Source: RNAcentral
CAAAGAACUUUGAAGAGAGAGUUCAAGAGGGCGUGAAACCGCUUAGAAGCAAACGGAUGGAGCGGACGUUAGUCCCUGGGAUUCAGCCUAAUGGGCGUGGUGCGCGUGGUUUGCCUGCUCUCAUUCAGACAGGUGGCUGCGUUAGUGCUGCGUUCAUGGGUGCAUUUCUCGGGGAUCGCGCCAAAGGCAGUGAGGGUGUCGCGUUGGCCUUGAGUUGGUGGCUUGUUGUUUCGGCAAUGAGUGUCUCACUUGGGUGUCCGGUGCGGUCGCUUUUACUGUGAUGGAAAGAGUACCCGCCUCUAGCUUGAGACUGCUGGCAUCUGCGUUGACGUGGCUUGGUUCCGGUUUCUGGACCCGGCUCGUUGAUGUUGGUGUAGGUGGUAUCUCGAGUGGUGCUCGGCUUUGGUGUUUUGUCUGUUACCCAUCCGACCCGUCUUGAAACACGGACCAAGGAGUCUAACAUGGGCGCGAGUUACUGGGUUGCAAAACCUAAGAGCGUAAUGAACGUAAAGGCUGGCUCUGGUCAGCUGACAUGGGAUCCGUGGCUUCGGCUGCGGCGCACCAUGGUCCCGCCCUGACUGCAUUGUCAGUGGGGCGGAGAUAGAGCGUGCAUGUUGGGACCCGAAAGAUGGUGAACUUUGCCUGAACAGGAUGAAGCCAGAGGAAACUCUGGUGGAAGUCCGUAGAGGUUCUGACGUGCAAAUCGAUCUUCAGAUUUGGGUAAAGGGGCGCAAGACUAAUCGAACUAUC